GAUGAACGCUAGCGGGAGGCCUAACACAUGCAAGCCGAGCGGUAUUGUUUCUUCGGAAAUGAGAGAGCGGCGUACGGGUGCGUAACACGUGUGCAACCUGCCUUUAUCUGGGGGAUAGCCUUUCGAAAGGAAGAUUAAUACUCCAUAAUAUAUUGAACGGCAUUGUUUAAUAUUGAAAGAUCCGGCGGAAAGAGAUGGGCACUCGCAAGAUUAGCUAGUUGGUGAGGUAACGGAUCACCAAGGCGAUGAUCUUUAGGGGGCCUGAGAGGGUGAUCCCCCACACUGGUACUGAGACACGGAACAGACUCCUACGGGAUGCAGCAGUGAGGAAUAUUGGUCAAUGGGUGCAAGCCUGAACCAGCCAUCCCGCGUGAAGGACGACUGCCCUAUGGGUUGUAAACUUCUUUUGUAUAGGGAUAAACCUACCCUCGUGAGGGUAGCUGAAGGUACUAUACGAAUAAGCACCGGCUAACUCCGUGCCAGCCGCCGCGGUAA
RNAcentral lists this ribosomal RNA (495 nucleotides) under uncultured bacterium. RNAcentral describes it as "partial 16S ribosomal RNA". It matches the Rfam family "Bacterial small subunit ribosomal RNA", at positions 28 to 523 of the family's 1533-position model. The record is from RNAcentral.